Tupaia belangeri chinensis (Chinese tree shrew) is the source of this 239-nucleotide long non-coding RNA. RefSeq lists it as uncharacterized. The record is from RefSeq and is a predicted model, not a curated record. The transcript has 3 exons. Lineage: Eukaryota; Metazoa; Chordata; Mammalia; Scandentia; Tupaiidae.
GCUAUGUUGUCCAGGCCAGUCUUGAGUUUUCCAUCUUCCUGCUUCAUUCUCCUGUAUCGCUGGGAUCACAGCAAAAGAAGUACUGGGAAGUCACUGAUGUAGGGAGAGUUCCCAUUCUUGCCCUCCAGCCAGACGGGAUCAUGAUCCCUCCCUCAAGCACAUUCAGAGAAUUUAGGCUGAUUCAGGAACCAAAUCCAGAGUCUUCCCAGAUGGCUCCAGCAGUAUCCCACUACCUGCAC